RNAcentral lists this ribosomal RNA (1409 nucleotides) under Salmonella enterica. RNAcentral describes it as "partial 23S ribosomal RNA". It matches the Rfam family "Bacterial large subunit ribosomal RNA", at positions 931 to 2322 of the family's 2925-position model. Lineage: Bacteria; Pseudomonadati; Pseudomonadota; Gammaproteobacteria; Enterobacterales; Enterobacteriaceae. The record is from RNAcentral.
CCGGCUUACCAACCCGAUGCAAACUGCGAAUACCGGAGAAUGUUAUCACGGGAGACACACGGCGGGUGCUAACGUCCGUCGUGAAGAGGGAAACAACCCAGACCGCCAGCUAAGGUCCCAAAGUCAUGGUUAAGUGGGAAACGAUGUGGGAAGGCCCAGACAGCCAGGAUGUUGGCUUAGAAGCAGCCAUCAUUUAAAGAAAGCGUAAUAGCUCACUGGUCGAGUCGGCCUGCGCGGAAGAUGUAACGGGGCUAAACCAUGCACCGAAGCUGCGGCAGCGACACUGUGUGUUGUUGGGUAGGGGAGCGUUCUGUAAGCCUGUGAAGGUGUGUCGUGAGGCAUGCUGGAGGUAUCAGAAGUGCGAAUGCUGACAUAAGUAACGAUAAAGCGGGUGAAAAGCCCGCUCGCCGGAAGACCAAGGGUUCCUGUCCAACGUUAAUCGGGGCAGGGUGAGUCGACCCCUAAGGCGAGGCCGAAAGGCGUAGUCGAUGGGAAACGGGUUAAUAUUCCCGUACUUGGUGUUACUGCGAAGGGGGGACGGAGAAGGCUAUGUUGGCCGGGCGACGGUUGUCCCGGUUUAAGCGUGUAGGUGUGUGUUCCAGGUAAAUCCGGUUCACUUUAACACUGAGGCGUGACGACGAGGCACUACGGUGCUGAAGCAACAAAUGCCCUGCUUCCAGGAAAAGCCUCUAAGCAUCAGGUAACAUCAAAUCGUACCCCAAACCGACACAGGUGGUCAGGUAGAGAAUACCAAGGCGCUUGAGAGAACUCGGGUGAAGGAACUAGGCAAAAUGGUGCCGUAACUUCGGGAGAAGGCACGCUGACACGUAGGUGAAGUGAUUUACUCAUGGAGCUGAAGUCAGUCGAAGAUACCAGCUGGCUGCAACUGUUUAUUAAAAACACAGCACUGUGCAAACACGAAAGUGGACGUAUACGGUGUGACGCCUGCCCGGUGCCGGAAGGUUAAUUGAUGGGGUCAGCGCAAGCGAAGCUCCUGAUCGAAGCCCCGGUAAACGGCGGCCGUAACUAUAACGGUCCUAAGGUAGCGAAAUUCCUUGUCGGGUAAGUUCCGACCUGCACGAAUGGCGUAAUGAUGGCCAGGCUGUCUCCACCCGAGACUCAGUGAAAUUGAACUCGCUGUGAAGAUGCAGUGUACCCGCGGCAAGACGGAAAGACCCCGUGAACCUUUACUAUAGCUUGACACUGAACAUUGAGCCUUGAUGUGUAGGAUAGGUGGGAGGCUUUGAAGUGUGGACGCCAGUCUGCAUGGAGCCGACCUUGAAAUACCACCCUUUAAUGUUUGAUGUUCUAACGUGGACCCGUUACCCGGGUUGCGGACAGUGUCUGGUGGGUAGUUUGACUGGGGCGGUCUCCUCCUAAAGAGUAACGGAGGAGCACGAAGGUUGGCU